UCAGUAAAAUUAAAACUCCCCCUGAUGAUUUUGAUGGACAUACCAACAUUGUGUCCUUUUGGGAGCAAGUGACACAAGACAUGGUUGGACGGGGAUUUCUUCGAAGUGGCAUGAAGAACCCCUACGUCAUUCCUCCAAGUUAUGAUUGUUGGGCUCUGUGGAUUGGUGUGAACAGAAGAAAAUCUGAAAUGGUGUUGAACACGGAAUUUGCAAAAAUUCAGAAAACCAGGCCAUGUGACAUGCUUGAUCUUGAUAUUAAUGAAGAACGACUUGGAGAUGAGCUCUUCAAGAUGAAGGUUGAAGCAAUACGGAAACUCUGCAAAGAGUGUGGUUUGGACUCGAAAGGCUCUAAGAUGGACCUUGUCUUAAGGUUAAGAGAGGAGAUGCAAAAUCGUGCCUCAUAUGAUAAAGUGUUUCAACAAAUCUGGGGUGCU
Long non-coding RNA from Paramisgurnus dabryanus, 434 nucleotides. RefSeq lists it as uncharacterized. Lineage: Eukaryota; Metazoa; Chordata; Actinopteri; Cypriniformes; Cobitidae. The record is from RefSeq and is a predicted model, not a curated record.